This 253-nucleotide ribosomal RNA is filed under the name uncultured bacterium. RNAcentral describes it as "partial 16S ribosomal RNA". It matches the Rfam family "Bacterial small subunit ribosomal RNA", at positions 524 to 776 of the family's 1533-position model. The record is from RNAcentral.
UACGUAGGAGGCAAGCGUUGUCCGGAAUUACUGGGCGUAAAGCGCGUGUAGGUGGUGGGACAAGUCUGCUGUGAAAGCGCCUGGCUUAACCGGGCGAGGUCGGCGGAAACUGUCCGACUCGAGGAUGGUAGAGGGGGGUGGAAUUCCCGGUGUAGUGGUGAAAUGCGUAGAGAUCGGGAGGAACACCUGUGGCGAAGGCGGCCCCCUGGGCCGGCCCUGACACUGAGACGCGAAGGCGUGGGGAGCGAACGGG